AAAAGAGGCACCGUUUUAUUUGUUGGAAAAUAAACUUCUAGACCUAUCCAUCCAUACAUGGCACGACUUCUAGUUCAUUCUAAGUUGGUAUAGGUGUCUUCGUGGGGUUACCCCAAAAUCCUGGACUGCAACUUUUAUUUUCGACUUCUAUCCUUUGGCUUGGGCUUGUGGGCUUAUUGGACUGGGUUGUUGGCCCAUUUGAAAAUGCUCCUGCAUCAUACGAUUCUCCUGUGCAUAAACUCGUCUCUGAGUUUUUUAGAUUCUCUUCUUUAUGAUAGGGAGAAAGGUCAUGACGUCCUUGUGCGCCACCAGGAUCAUAUGGGAAUAACAUAGCAUCUCCAUUUGAUGUGUUGAAUGCCCAAAACUGACCGUGCAAUUGGGUCACAGGGAACUUUUCUUCAGAUCAUACCGCCUUCUCUCCAGCAGUACACGACAUAGGUAUGAUCUUUGGACCUAUUUUUUUGGGAAAAUAUUUUCUUUCUGUUGCCUAAUCUCGUUCUGCUGGAAAAUAGAGAGAAAUAGAGGUCUAGAGGGUUUAUUGUGGAUGCGGUGGAGUGAUUAAUUUGGAAUUCCCAGUCGCUUUUCUGGAGAAUUUGGAGGUACUCCAAUUCUUGUUUUCCUGGUAAUUGUUAUUAUUCUCUUUAACCGAAUGUAGUCAUCCCCAUGGCCCUAGACAGGCCAUAAGCUAAAGGUGGUCAAGGCUAUUGCCCAUGGCUGUGUUCAGGCAGCCAAACCAAAGAACUGGCACACGACAAAACUGCUAGAACAAAAAGGGUUAUAACCCCUGAUAACCCCUAAUCUGAUUACAUGAGAUGUUCAAAUUUACCAAGCAACAAGAGGGCAGCCCAGUCGAUGAAACACUCGAUGCUGGGAUCACAUCCUAAAAUGGACAGAAGAGCCAAUUUCCUCAAUUCUUGUAUCUUCUUUUAGGCUUUUAAUUAACCAUCCUUCUAAAGGAAAAAUUGAAAUGAAAAUUGGCUUUACUCAGAAUGUAUACCGGUAGAUGGCAUCAGCAACACCAUGCUCAUCGAUCAUUGUUGCAACCAAUUACAUUAGCCACAGAUUUUGCCUUUUCUGAUCCAUUACUGAGAGCAACACCCAGAGAAGCCAGCUCAAGCAUCUCAACGCCAUCUUCCCCAGUCCCCAUCACCAAUAGCCAUUACCUAAUCAGAUUUAGCAUAGGAAAGUGAGUUCACCAAACUCGUAGGAUAAAUACACACAAGUGAUUAGUCCAUCUUCUAUAUUGACAAAAUAUCUCUCCAUUUUGGGUACAGCCAAGAGACUAAUUGUCUUGAGUAUGCAAAAAUCAUGUUUAGAAUCAAUAUAUGAGAUGAGCCAUAAUAAUUCUCUUUUUCGAACAUUUUUGGGUAGAAUGUUGGUAGUGUUCUGCAUGAGCUGACAGGUCAGUGGAAUUCAAGUGAGAUGACAGGGGUCUUUGGGUUUUGAAUUUCUUCGUUGAGGAUUGAAGAAAGUUCUGGGAAAUAUGGGGACAAAAUGGAGGAUAUGUAGUUUAGAUUCUGAACUUCUCUGUUGGCCCUUCUCUGAGAUUUCUGAGUGGGAAUCUCUCUCAAUACCCCCUCCCCCCCCCCCCCCAAAAAAAAAAAAAAAAUCAGGUUUCUUGCAAGUUUGAGGCUUUCUUGCUUUGUGAGGUAGUUGGACAUUCAAGCAAGAUGGAAGCCAUUAUUUGUUUCUCUCGGCCUCUGUUUUCUUUUUUUGAUUAGUGUACAAGGUCAGCUUCUUUUGUGUUUUUUGUUUUUCUUCUACUCUAUCCUAUGCUAUGGGGGGAGGGAAGGUGAGAACCAGGAGACCCAAGACCUUUCAGUUUCAUUUCUUCGCUCACAAUUAUGUGAAUUCUACAUCUUGUUUAUGAUCUUGUAGCUAAUAUUGUGAUGUUGUGAAAUUAUUUCUUUGAGACACCAAGGUUAAUAUACUUGUGUACAUACUGAAGUUCCAUCUAUCUUGAUGAAGUAAAUGAAUAGAGACUUGUCUCUGUUUAAACCCCAGGGGCAAUCGAGUUGGCAAGGUACCUUCGCCUCAAGAAGCGUGUGGUUUUGAGUUCGACUCCUCUUACCUCCUUGGAGCCACUCAUACCGGGGUGUUUAGUGCUCUUCCCUGCUUUCGGUGAGAGUUGAAUGGUUCUCAUUCAAGCACGGUAUGACCCGGUCCAUGCGGUUGUGGGGUCAGUAUGGGCCUACAAGUCUAGUCAAGCCGAAGGCUUGGAUACCCAUCUUUGGCACACCAAAAAAAAAACUGGUCUCUGUUAAAAUGAAAGUACAAUUGGAAUGUCCCAGUUCAAGGGACAAAGCCAUAGGAUAUUUGAUAAUAACUCUUGCUCAUGGAAAGAGUUUUCAGUCUCUUUCCAUUAUCUUCAAUCUUUUCAGGCUUCAUUGGUUUCAUUUUUAUGUCAUAAUUUUGCAAAUCAUAUUCUGAUUAGCUUUUGUUUCCAGUUCUUAUGUGGUUGUGCUUUGUUACCCUCCUUUUUCUUUUAAAAAAAAUUGUUUACCAUAUACAACACAUGCUUUAAGCUUUACAGUUUUGCGUAAUGGUAAUGCAUGCUCGGAAAGAGAUGGUACGAUAAUGGUUUGUGACAUUGCAUUAACUUAGACUGUUUUUUGGGAUGAUCGUCCCCAGCAUUUUUUCACAUUCAUAGAUAUCAUGCAAAGAAGACUUGAUCUGCUGGUUGUGCUGCUUUUGAUCUCAAGCAGAAGCAGAAACAGUGUCUCAAACUAGACUGAUGUUGACCCCUAUGUUCCAAGUAGGACUUCCUGUGUCUCCCUCUGGAAACUUAAUGCUGAGAAAUGUUCCACCAGUGAAGGCUUUUUCAUCAGUGCUUUAACCUGAAAUGGACUUCCCAAUUGUCAUUGAUGUCAAUGAUUCAUUCAAUUGAAAAUAGCAUUCUUGUAGUUUUAUGAAAUUCAACUCACUUAAAAGAUGUGAAAUUCUAUAGAAAUAAGAAAUAAGAAGUGGUGUUCUUGUA
This is a long non-coding RNA of Macadamia integrifolia, 2977 nucleotides long. RefSeq lists it as uncharacterized. The record is from RefSeq and is a predicted model, not a curated record. The transcript has 2 exons. NCBI's taxonomy places the organism in Eukaryota, Viridiplantae, Streptophyta, Magnoliopsida, Proteales, Proteaceae.